RNAcentral lists this ribosomal RNA (253 nucleotides) under uncultured bacterium. RNAcentral describes it as "partial 16S ribosomal RNA". It matches the Rfam family "Bacterial small subunit ribosomal RNA", at positions 524 to 776 of the family's 1533-position model. The record is from RNAcentral.
GACGAACCGAGCGAACGUUGUUCGGAAUCACUGGGCUUAAAGGGCGCGUAGGCGGGCAUCCAAGUCAGUGGUGAAAUCCUCCGGCCUAACCGGAGAAGAGCUGUUGAUACUGGGUGCCUCGAGUGGUGCAGGGGUCUGCGGAACUUCCGGUGGAGCGGUGAAAUGCGUAGAGAUCGGAAGGAACGCCGGUGGCGAAAGCGGCGGACUGGGCACCUCCUGACGCUGAGGCGCGAAAGCCAGGGGAGCAAACGGG